CGAUUCCUACGGGAGGCAGCAGUGAGGAAUAUUGGUCAAUGGACGAGAGUCUGAACCAGCCAAGUAGCGUGCAGGAAGACGGCCCUAUGGGUUGUAAACUGCUUUUAUAUAGGGAUAAAGUGCACUACGUGUAGUGUUUUGUAGGUACUAUAUGAAUAAGGACCGGCUAAUUCCGUGCCAGCAGCCGCGGUAAU
This 194-nucleotide ribosomal RNA is filed under the name uncultured rumen bacterium. RNAcentral describes it as "partial 16S ribosomal RNA". It matches the Rfam family "Bacterial small subunit ribosomal RNA", at positions 333 to 524 of the family's 1533-position model. The record is from RNAcentral.